Molecule: ribosomal RNA, 253 nt
Filed under: uncultured bacterium
Lineage: Bacteria
Description: partial 16S ribosomal RNA
Rfam family: Bacterial small subunit ribosomal RNA
Source: RNAcentral
UACGAAGGGGGCUAGCGUUGUUCGGAAUUACUGGGCGUAAAGCGCGCGCAGGCGGUCUUCCAAGUCAGUGGUGAAAGCCCGGAGCUCAACUCCGGAACUGCCAUUGAAACUGUAAGACUUGAGGAUGAGAGAGGUGAGUGGAAUUCCCAGUGUAGAGGUGAAAUUCGUAGAUAUUGGGAAGAACACCGGUGGCGAAGGCGGCCAUCUGGACCGUAUCUGACGCUGAGGCGCGAAAGCGUGGGGAGCAAACAGG